Molecule: ribosomal RNA, 492 nt
Filed under: uncultured bacterium
Lineage: Bacteria
Description: partial 16S ribosomal RNA
Rfam family: Bacterial small subunit ribosomal RNA
Source: RNAcentral
AGUGAACGCUGGCGGUAGGCCUAACACAUGCAAGUCGAACGGCAGCACAGUAAGAGCUUGCUCUUACGGGUGGCGAGUGGCGGACGGGUGAGGAAUACAUCGGAAUCUACUUUUUCGUGGGGGAUAACGUAGGGAAACUUACGCUAAUACCGCAUACGACCUACGGGUUAAAGCAGGGGAUCUUCGGACCUUGCGCGAUUGAAUGAGCCGAUGUCGGAUUAGCUAGUUGGCGGGGUAAAGGCCCACCAAGGCGACGAUCCGUAGCUGGUCUGAGAGGAUGAUCAGCCACACUGGAACUGAGACACGGUCCAGACUCCUAUGGGAGGCAGCAGUGGGGAAUAUUGGACAAUGGGCGCAAGCCUGAUCCAGCCAUACCGCGUGGGUGAAGAAGGCCUUCGGGUUGUAAAGCCCUUUUGUUGGGAAAGAAAAGCAGCAGGUUAAUACCCCGCUGUUCUGACGGUACCCAAAGAAUAAGCACCGGCUAACUUCGUG